CUGAAGAGAGGAGCUUGCUCUUCUUGGAUGAGUUGCGAACGGGUGAGUAACGCGUAGGUAACCUGCCUUGUAGCGGGGGAUAACUAUUGGAAACGAUAGCUAAUACCGCAUAACAAUGGAUGACCCAUGUCAUUUAUUUGAAAGGGGCAAAUGCUCCACUACAAGAUGGACCUGCGUUGUAUUAGCUAGUAGGUGAGGUAACGGCUCACCUAGGCGACGAUACAUAGCCGACCUGAGAGGGUGAUCGGCCACACUGGGACUGAGACACGGCCCAGACUCCUACGGGAGGCAGCAGUAGGGAAUCUUCGGCAAUGGGGGCAACCCUGACCGAGCAACGCCGCGUGAGUGAAGAAGGUUUUCGGAUCGUAAAGCUCUGUUGUAAGUCAAGAACGAGUGUGAGAGUGGAAAGUUCACACUGUGACGGUAGCUUACCAGAAAGGGACGGCUAACUACGUGCCAGCAGCCGCGGUAAUACGUAGGUCCCGAGCGUUGUCCGGAUUUAUUGGGCGUAAAGCGAGCGCAGGCGGUUUGAUAAGUCUGAAGUUAAAGGCUGUGGCUCAACCAUAGUUCGCUCUGGAAACUGUCAAACUUGAGUGCAGAAGGGGAGAGUGGAAUUCCAUGUGUAGCGGUGAAAUGCGUAGAUAUAUGGAGGAACACCGGUGGCGAAAGUGGCUCUCUGGUCUGUAACUGACGCUGAGGCUCGAAAGCGUGGGGAGCGAACAGG
RNAcentral lists this ribosomal RNA (724 nucleotides) under uncultured Bacilli bacterium. Its description in RNAcentral is "bacterial SSU rRNA". It matches the Rfam family "Bacterial small subunit ribosomal RNA", at positions 67 to 776 of the family's 1533-position model. The record is from RNAcentral. Lineage: Bacteria; Bacillati; Bacillota; Bacilli.